CCUGAGAAACCCAAAAGUUCGAAUGGAGAGAUUCAUCGUCAGCGAUCCUGGCAAUUGUGCGGUUCGCGAUGCCCGGGGCCUCGGUCCCGUGGCACGCGUCCGUAUGAUUUAUUUGCCGGGUGUCGUCGUCGUGCACUUCUCCCCUAGUAGGACGUCGCGACCCGUUGGGCGUCGGUCUACGACCCGGGUGGGAGCCUGUCAUGUGUUACGCUUCACGGCGUCAUGUGGCAGACCCCCGGUUGUCCGACCAGCUGCCCGGCGGUACUCGCACGGUAUCGAGUCGCAAUUUGAACUGCGUCCGGCCCGCCGCAAGCGAGGCCAGUGUUUCCCGGAUGUACGGACUUAGCGCCGUCACCGGGCCUGGCCAGCUGUUGGCCGGCGGUGUCCUGGGACUGACUCUAAUUACCGGUCGGCGACGCUACUGCUUUGGGUACUUUCAGGACCCGUCUUGAAACACGGACCAAGGAGUCUAACAUGUGCGCGAGUCAUUGGGAUCUGUUAAGCCUAAAGGCGCAAUGAAAGUGAAGGUAGGCCUUGCGCCAACC
RNAcentral lists this ribosomal RNA (545 nucleotides) under Venturia ocypeta. Its description in RNAcentral is "eukaryotic LSU rRNA". The record is from RNAcentral. Lineage: Eukaryota; Metazoa; Arthropoda; Insecta; Hymenoptera; Ichneumonidae.